UCACGUGUCAUUGUUACACCUUGAUGACGUACUUUUACUUCGCGCUCUUCUCCUGCUACACGUGUUCAGAGUUUGAUUUCAAGGAGCAGAACCAGCAAAAGACGGGUGUGGGUGCAAAUGAAGUGCGUGAAGGACAAGUUGGCCUCAUCCCCACCCUGUAGUCCUGUCACACCUGCCAGAUCUGCUAUAUAAGGAGGUCUUGCUGUUGACGACAACAUACGUCUCAGUGUCAGCACCACCAUGAGACUGGCCGCCUUGCUGGUUCUGCUAUGCCUCUGCUCCAUGGCAAUGCCUUCGAAAUCUCAGGUUCCAGAUGACUCGGAGAGGCAAGAAUAUGAAUAUCCAGUUGAUAGAAACCCCCCUGAAAUGCAUCCAGAAAUGGCAACUGUGGGAACACCUGGAGGAGGAAUAGGAUCUGGAAAAUGAUUUUUCAGGACUUCAAUAAGUCGCCCAAAAGAACCCACCCAGACCAAUCAUUUCCAAAUAAGAAGUAUUAAAUGAAUGUCCUCUAAUGAAAAAUAAAGGCAAA
Long non-coding RNA from Erpetoichthys calabaricus (reedfish), 529 nucleotides. RefSeq lists it as uncharacterized. NCBI's taxonomy places the organism in Eukaryota, Metazoa, Chordata, Cladistia, Polypteriformes, Polypteridae. The transcript is spliced from 5 exons. The record is from RefSeq and is a predicted model, not a curated record.